GUGCCAGCAGCCGCGGUAAUACGGAGGAUCCAAGCGUUAUCCGGAUUUAUUGGGUUUAAAGGGUGCGUAGGCGGCCUGUUAAGUCAGGGGUGAAAGACGGUAGCUCAACUAUCGCAGUGCCCUUGAUACUGAUGGGCUUGAAUGGACUAGAGGUAGGCGGAAUGAGACAAGUAGCGGUGAAAUGCAUAGAUAUGUCUCAGAACACCGAUUGCGAAGGCAGCUUACUAUGGUCUUAUUGACGCUGAGGCACGAAAGCGUGGGGAUCAAACAGGAUUAGAUACCCGAGUAGUCC
RNAcentral lists this ribosomal RNA (292 nucleotides) under uncultured bacterium. RNAcentral describes it as "partial 16S ribosomal RNA". It matches the Rfam family "Bacterial small subunit ribosomal RNA", at positions 505 to 796 of the family's 1533-position model. The record is from RNAcentral.